RNAcentral lists this ribosomal RNA (1362 nucleotides) under Triticum aestivum (bread wheat). RNAcentral describes it as "partial small subunit ribosomal RNA". The record is from RNAcentral. Lineage: Eukaryota; Viridiplantae; Streptophyta; Magnoliopsida; Poales; Poaceae.
CCCGGCGCAGGCCUCGUCCGACCCGACCCCCGCCAUCGCCCGGCCAGGGCCACCCCCGCGCUGGUCCCCGCAGACGAGCGGGGCUCCCUCUUCGCCAAGGACCCCGCGCCAUCCGAGUUUGCGUCCUCCUCGUCGCCGUCCGCAGCGGCCAAAGGAUCUCCACGGCGUCCUCGUCAUCGUCCGCGGCGGCCAGGGGAUCUCCGCGGCGUCCUCGUCGUCGUCCAUGGACCCCACCCCCACCGAGCAUGAGAUCUCCCGAGCAGGCCCUCCCACUGGCUGUUGCCGGGCCAUCUCCGCCGCGCCACCGUCCCUCCACCGGCAGGCAUAUCUCUCUCUCUCUCUCUCUCUCUCUGACUGGCCGUGUUGUCUGCACCAGGUUCAACUCCUCCUGUGGCAAAGUGCUCGGCGAGGAGAAGGACACGGGAACUUGACCUGGACGCAAGGUGCUCAGCUCCUCCAGCGACCACCGGGCCGAUUUGUUCUCUGUUCCCCUCCCCACCUCCCUCCACCCAUCUUCUGUACAUUCACAUGUUCGUCAGUUUAUAUCUGUAUAUUACAGUAGUCAGCAAUAUUAUUUGAAUGUAAUUUUGAUGGAUUAGUUAGGUGAUAUUUUGAUGCAAUUUUGAUGGAUAUUUUUUCAGAUGAGAUGGAACCAAAGAUCAAUCUGCUUUGAUUUCUUAAAUUCUCUACAACUUGCUUUUGUAGUUUUACUCCAGAACAAAGCAUGCAAAAGUAAUAGCAAAUAUAAACCUCAAAUCUCUUCCCCACCACAUUGUGUGUGCAUACUCCAUCUAAUCUAAUAUAUAAAUCUGAAAUCUUGAAGCUUCAUUCCUUUGGUCACCCAAGAUAUGUUAAUGAAAUGCUGUUGUCACUCCAUUUGUUUGUGAAUUUGCCUACCUGUUCUCAUGUGACUCAGUGAGCAUGCAUUCAAGUUUUUUUGUUGGUCUAUUUAGCAUGAACCGGUGCUAUGUGUUUUUAGCUACUUUAGCAUUCAAAUGAACAUAACCAUGAACUCUGAUCCAGGGCAUGCACUCUACCCAGAGCAUGUGCAGUCCGCCAUAUCUAGAAAUUCCUGGAUACCAGAUACAACUAUGCCCUUAAUUAGUAAAUUUCCUUCAACAACCCAUGCUUAUGAUCUGCGAACACUCUAUUUGUGUACUGAUGUACAUUGGAUGCCCGGCUUUUAAUUUUGAGUGUGUGUAAUGUGAUGUCUGGCAUUCACUUGAAGUGGCACUCCUAUAUUUGCUUAUAAUAUAAAUACUUGUUUAUGCACACAAUGCAAAUAUUUUGUUUAUGCAUACCUGAACUCCUAGCUAGCACUUGACAACUUAUUCUCUGGUUUCCUAUUAAUUAAAUGGUACA